RNAcentral lists this ribosomal RNA (508 nucleotides) under uncultured bacterium. RNAcentral's name for it is "partial 16S ribosomal RNA". It matches the Rfam family "Bacterial small subunit ribosomal RNA", at positions 28 to 523 of the family's 1533-position model. The record is from RNAcentral.
GAUGAACGCUAGCUACAGGCUUAACACAUGAAAGUCGUGGGGAAACGACAUCGAAAGCUUGCUUGUGAUGGCCGACGACCGGCGCAAGGGAGCGUAACGCGUAUCCAACCUGCCCACCACUUGGGGAUACCCUUGCGAAAGUAAGACUACUACCCAUUGAUAUCUCUAGAAGACAACUGAAAGAGACUAAAGAUUUAUCUGUGAUGGAUGGGGAUGCGUCUGAGUAGCUUAGUGGCUGGGUAACAGCCCACCAAGGAUACGAUCAGUAGGGGGUCUGAGAGGAACGUCCCCCACAUUGGAACUGAGACACGGUCCAAACUCCUACGGGAGGCAGCAGUGAAGAAUAUUGGUCAAUGGGCGAGAGCCUGAACCAGCCAAGUAGCGUGCAGGAUGCCGGCCCUAUGGGUUAUAAACUGCUUUUAUAAGGGAAUAAAGUGAGUCUCGUGAGACUUUUUGCAUGUACCUUAUGAAUAAGGACCGGCUAAGUCCGUGCCAGCAGCCGCCGUAA